RNAcentral lists this ribosomal RNA (650 nucleotides) under Drosophila gibberosa. RNAcentral's name for it is "partial 16S ribosomal RNA". Lineage: Eukaryota; Metazoa; Arthropoda; Insecta; Diptera; Drosophilidae. The record is from RNAcentral.
UUAGAUUAUAUUUAUUAAUUUUUCAUAUAUUUUUUGUAAAAUAUUAAAAAUAAUUAUAAAAAAUAAAGUUUUAGUAUUUGUUUAAAGAAAAAAUAAUUAUUAAUUAUAGUUUAAUAGUAUUGUAAAAGAAAAUUGAAAUAUUUUGAAAAAUUAUUAUUAUAAAAGAAAAUUUAAUUUAUUGUACCUUGUGUAUCAGCGUUUAUUAAAUAAAAAAUAAUUAAUAUUUAUUUUUCUCGAUUUUAAAAGAGUUAAUAUAUUAUAAAAGUUAAUGUGAUAAAAUUAUUUUUAAUAAUAUAUUAGAAAUGAAAUGUUAUUCGUUUUUGAAGGUAUCUAGUUUUUCAAGAAAUAAAUUUAAUUUAGAAGUUAUAAAUUUAUUUAAAAAAUUUUUUAAUUAAAUAUUUUAUAAUUUUAAUAUUUUAUGGGAUAAGCUAUAAAAUAAAUUUUUAAAAAUAAUAAAUAAAUUUAAUAAAUAUAUGCUUAAAAUUAGCAAUUGUUUUAAAUUAUGUUAUAAUUUAUUUUAUUUAAAUAUAUUAUUUAUUAAAUUUUAAGUAUUUAUUGAAAUAUUAAUUUUAAUUUUAAAAAUUAAGUAAUAAUGAUAAAAUUAGUAUAUUUUAUUGUAUAAUAAAUAUAAAUGAAAAGUUUAUGUAAAG